GAUGAACGCUGGCGGCGUGCCUAAUACAUGCCAGUCGAGCGAACAGACGAGGAGCUUGCUCCUCUGACGUUAGCGGCGGACGGGUGAGUAACACGUGGAUAACCUACCUAUAAGACUGGGAUAACUUCGGGAAACCGGAGCUAAUACCGGAUAAUAUAUUGAACCGCAUGGUUCAAUAGUGAAAGACGGUUUUGCUGUCACUUAUAGAUGGAUCCGCGCCGCAUUAGCUAGUUGGUAAGGUAACGGCUUACCAAGGCAACGAUGCGUAGCCGACCUGAGAGGGUGAGCGGCCACACUGGAACUGAGACACGGUCCAGACUCCUACGGGAGGCAGCAGUAGAGAAUCUUCCGCAAUGGGCGAAAGCCUGACGGAGCAACGCCGCGUGAGUGAUGAAGGUCUUCGGAUCGUAAAACUCUGUUAUUAGGGAAGAACAAAUGUGUAAGUGACUAUGCACGUCUUGACGGUACCUAAUCAGAAAGCCACGGCUAACUACGUG
This 497-nucleotide ribosomal RNA is filed under the name uncultured bacterium. Its description in RNAcentral is "partial 16S ribosomal RNA". It matches the Rfam family "Bacterial small subunit ribosomal RNA", at positions 28 to 507 of the family's 1533-position model. The record is from RNAcentral.